GGGCCCGCACAAGCGGUGGAGCAUGUGGUUUAAUUCGAUGCAACGCGAAGAACCUUACCUACACUUGACAUCCAGAGAACUUUCUAGAGAUAGAUUGGUGCCUUCGGGAACUCUGAGACAGGUGCUGCAUGGCUGUCGUCAGCUCGUGUCGUGAGAUGUUGGGUUAAGUCCCGCAACGAGCGCAACCCUUUUCCUUAUUUGCCAGCACUUUGGGUGGGAACUUUAAGGAUACUGCCAGUGACAAACUGGAGGAAGGCGGGGACGACGUCAAGUCAUCAUGGCCCUUACGACCAGGGCUACACACGUGCUACAAUGGUUGGUACAAAGGGUUGCUACACAGCGAUGUGCUGCUAAUCUCAAAAAGCCAAUCGUAGUCCGGAUUGGAGUCUGCAACUCGACUCCAUGAAGUCGGAAUCGCUAGUAAUCG
This 427-nucleotide ribosomal RNA is filed under the name uncultured bacterium. Its description in RNAcentral is "bacterial SSU rRNA". It matches the Rfam family "Bacterial small subunit ribosomal RNA", at positions 917 to 1344 of the family's 1533-position model. The record is from RNAcentral.